UACAGAGGGUGCAAGCGUUAAUCGGAAUUACUGGGCGUAAAGGGCGCGUAGGCGGAUAAUUAAGUUAGGUGUGAAAUCCCUGGGCUUAACCUGGGAACUGCAUUUAAUACUGGUUAUCUAGAGUAGAGUAGAGGGAAGUGGAAUUUCCGGUGUAGCGGUGAAAUGCGUGGAGAUGGGGGAGAACACUCGUGGCGAAGGCGGCCAGCUAGACCAGUUCUGACACUGAGGCGCGACAGCGUGGGGAGCAAACAGG
This 253-nucleotide ribosomal RNA is filed under the name uncultured bacterium. RNAcentral's name for it is "partial 16S ribosomal RNA". It matches the Rfam family "Bacterial small subunit ribosomal RNA", at positions 524 to 776 of the family's 1533-position model. The record is from RNAcentral.